This 684-nucleotide non-coding RNA is filed under the name Selaginella moellendorffii. RNAcentral's name for it is "Bacterial small subunit ribosomal RNA". It matches the Rfam family "Bacterial small subunit ribosomal RNA", at positions 848 to 1533 of the family's 1533-position model. The record is from Rfam by way of RNAcentral. Lineage: Eukaryota; Viridiplantae; Streptophyta; Lycopodiopsida; Selaginellales; Selaginellaceae.
CACCUAACGCGUUAAGUAUCCCGCCUGGGGAGUACGCUCGCAAGAAUGAGACUCAAAGGAAGUGACGGGGCACCGCACAACCGGUGGAGCAUCUGGCCUAAUUCGAGGCAACGCGAAGAACCUUACCAGGGCGAGACAGGCCGUGAAUAGUCUUGAGAGAGAGGAGUGCCCUCGGGAACGCGGACACAGUUGGUGCAUGACUGUCGUCAGCUCGUACCGUGAGAUGCUGGGUCGAGUCCCGCAACGAGCGCAACCCUAGUGUAUAGUCGCCAUCACUGAGCUUGGAACCCUAAACAGACGGCCGGCGAAGAGCCGGAGGAGGGUGAGGAUGACGUCAAGUCAGCAUGCCCCUCACGCCAUGGGCGACACACGUGCUACAAUGCCCGGGACAAAGGGUCGCAACCCCGCGAGGGCAGGCCAACCCCGAAAACCCGGCCUCAGUUCGGAUUGCAGGCUGCAACUCGCCUGCAUGAAGCCGGAAUCGCUAGUAAUCGCCGGUCAGCCAUACGACGGUGAAUCCGUUCCCGGGCAUUGUACACACCGCCCGUCACACUACGGGAGCUGGCCAUGCCCGAAGUCGUCACCUUAACCGCAAGGAGGGGAAUGCCUAAGGCAGGGCUAGUGACUGGAGUGAAGUCGUAACAAGGUAGCCGUACUGGAAGGUGCGGCUGGAUCACCUCCUUC